GACGAACCGUGCGAACGUUAUUCGGAAUCACUGGGCUUAAAGCGCGUGUAGGCGGAUGGGAACGUCGGUCGCUGAAAUCCCCCGGCUCAACCGGGGAACGGGCGCCGAAACGACCCGUCUGGAGGGACGUAGGGGGACCUGGAACUUCCGGUGGAGCGGUGAAAUGCGUUGAGAUCGGAAGGAACGCCCGUGGCGAAGCGAGGUCCUGGACGUCUACUG
Molecule: ribosomal RNA, 219 nt
Filed under: uncultured bacterium
Lineage: Bacteria
Description: partial 16S ribosomal RNA
Rfam family: Bacterial small subunit ribosomal RNA
Source: RNAcentral